GCCUACUGUUUAAUUUUGAAAGUUCUUUACGAACUUUAUAUAUGGGGGUGUAGCUCAGUUGGGAGAGCACUUGCCUUGCAAGCAAGGGGUCAGGAGUUCGACUCUCCUCAUCUCCACCAUUUAAGAGUAUAUUACUUAAAUCUUUGAUUUACUUAGUAGCCUCUUACAAUGCACUUAUAGCUUAAAUUUAUACAGGCUUUGUGCGUUAGCACUUUAAGCAACAGAAUAAACUGAACGCAUGUGAAGUUUGUUUGUUGGCGCUGUGCGUUAGCACUUUAAGCAACGGAAUUUAUUCGUUGGCGCUGUGUGUUAGCACUUUGAAAACUGCAUAUAUAUUUAGUGAUAUGACAUCUAAUUUGUAAUAUAUAAAGCUGAUAACUUUUUAAAAUUAUCGAAGUUGAUAGCUUCUAAUCUAUCAAACCUUUUUAACUGGUCAA
This 437-nucleotide transfer RNA is filed under the name Clostridioides difficile. RNAcentral's name for it is "16S-23S ribosomal RNA intergenic spacer". The stretch from base 44 to 116 matches the Rfam family "tRNA". Lineage: Bacteria; Bacillati; Bacillota; Clostridia; Peptostreptococcales; Peptostreptococcaceae. The record is from RNAcentral.